AAUGUGGUAUAUACAUGCAAUAAAACACUAUUCAGCCUACAGAGAAGAUUAGUAUGGCCCCUAACAAGGAUAACACACAUUCAUGAAGCAUUCCAUAUUUUU
Pongo abelii (Sumatran orangutan) is the source of this 102-nucleotide small nuclear RNA. Lineage: Eukaryota; Metazoa; Chordata; Mammalia; Primates; Hominidae. The record is from Ensembl.